AAGGCUUGACAUGGGGAAGACUGGACGAGAGAUCGUCCUUCUCUAGCAAUAGAGCUUCCCACACAGGUGCUGCAUGGCUGUCGUCAGCUCGUGUCGUGAGAUGUUGGGUUAAGUCCCGCAACGAGCGCAACCCCCGUUUCUAGUUGCCAUCAUUCAGUUGGGCCCUCUAGAGAGACUGCCGCGAAUAACGCGGAGGAAGGUGGGACGACGUCAAGUCAUCAUGGU
RNAcentral lists this ribosomal RNA (225 nucleotides) under uncultured bacterium. RNAcentral describes it as "partial 16S ribosomal RNA". It matches the Rfam family "Bacterial small subunit ribosomal RNA", at positions 978 to 1199 of the family's 1533-position model. The record is from RNAcentral.